CCCCCCCCCCCCCGCCCCAACCCACCAUGGCCACCAUUACCGCCAUAUAAUUACAACUCUAGAAAAAAAGGGCCACAAUUUAAAGGUACCAAUCCAAGAAUUUCAUUUUCGUUUCCUUUUCAUACCGCACUAAUUUCUGCAAAUCAAGAAGAAGUUUCAAUAACCUAGCAAUGGAUGUCAAUUUGUAAAUGUUCGGAUUGAGGUAUUGACUAACAAGAAUUAUAGUGGAAGUAUAUACUUUAAAUAAAUUGAUUUCAAAAGCGAAAAUUUGAACAGAGGUACAGUAGUGUAAUUCUGGGUCCGAAUUAAAUCUGUGAGUGUGCGAACUGCUCCGAAUCUUCAAGAAGCUCUUUCGUUUUUCUUAAUUUCAAUAGUAAGUCCUUCGUUUUCUAGAGCUGUAAUUAUAUGGUGGAGGGGAUGGAAAUUUUAGUGGUGGAAGAGCGGAGGAGUAAAAUGGGUUAGGAGGUGAUGAGGUGGCAAUGCCAUGUGGUAUCCACCUCAUCCAAUGCCACUGCCACGUAGGAUAGGAUGCCCAAGGUGGCCAACUUUAACGGAUGAAGGGUAUAUUUGAGUCAAUAGUAUAACGGCAAGGGUAUAAUUGGACCCAAAGUAUAACGAAAGGUAUAUUUGACACUUUUCCAAUAGUACAGGGGUACAUUUGGCCCUUUUCCGAAUAAUAAAUAUAUUAAAAAAAUAUAAAUGAUUAUGUAUUUAAAUAAAAGGGCUUCUCCUGAUUAAGCUUUCCUUACUUUGUAUUGACUGUGUACAUAGAAAAAUAUGACCUAUCUUUGUCCACUAUAAUCCAUUGAAGUGCCUUGUUGAGAAAAAAAAAAUUGAAGGUACAACAAACAACAAAAGAAACUGGAGAAAUUAUGAAGUUAUCCCUUUUUAUAGAGUUAUUUAGUAAAUGAUUCUCUUUUAUUUAUCUUACAACUUAUGAAUUUUUAGACCACAGUUUAAAUAUUUCUUUUGAGUUAAUCGAAAAUUGUAAAGUUUAAAACUUUGUAAGUUAUCCAAACAUUGGAUGACAAUAUAAUAUCUUGUAUGUCAGAUUGAGAAACAUAUGAGCAAGCAUUAGACUCAAGUCUAAUGUUAUCUAGAACUAUAUUUUUUUACGGAUUAUAUAUUAAAAGGAAUAUUUACUUGAUGUAGCUUCUUAUAAGAGCUAAAUAUUGAUAAUAACUACUCCUUUCAUUUAUUUAUAUUUAGUAGCUAAUUUACUUUUCUAAGCUACCAUUCAUAUCUGUAUCAGUAACUUACAGUUACUGGUACACAUACACACCGUAUUAUAAGCUACCCAUAUUCCACUUUUAACGGUUACAUCUUUAAUCAACUCAAAUUCUCUCUCAUUCUUCAUUAAUCCUCAUAGUAUUUUUCUCCAUUACCUCCUUCACGAUUCCACAUCCGUAAAUCAUUGUUCCGAAAUUUUGGGGAAGGUGUAUUUGGGUAGAUUUUUCCUUCUAUUAGUGUAUUUUGUUCAUAAUAACUUCUUCUUUUCCACUAAUUUCAAGCCAAUUGAAGUAUCAAAUUGUUAGGUUUUCAAGCCAAUUGAAGUAUCAAAUUUAUCCAUUAAUGGUCGACAGAACAAAAUCAAACAUGGUUACUCGAGGUAUACCUUCUAUUGUUCAAAAUAUGGAUUUUCCUUCUUUUGACUUGGAGAUUUCUCAACAACAAAAUGAUGUUGUUGCACGUUCUAUCGAAAGAAUGGUUGUUGAAAGCCAUACGAAGAACAUUCAUGAUCCUUCCCACAUGCAAAGGCUUAAAAAAUCGGUAAUUUCAAAAUCAACAAAGAAAAUAGAUGCCGUAAAAGAGAUGAAAAGGAGAAAGAUUAGUGAUGAAGCUUCAGUUAGCAAGGGGAAAAAAGCUAUAGAACCAGAAGUAGAACCACACAAGGAGCUUGAACUAGCGAUGAAGCAGGAUGAUAAAUUCUUUAUUGAAUAUCCUCCCAGUCAUGCAAUACGCUAUGCUUCGUACAUGAACCAUAAAAUUAAAAUAGAAUUGAAGGACAAGCUUACCGAUAGACACUACAAGCUCUUUUCUGAAACUAUAUUUGGAAAAUACCUCCAGAUGCAGCACUGUGAAGUUCAAGGACAACUAUUCAGUUGUUUCAUGGUCAGAGAGUUGAAGAAAAGUACUCCCGAUGCUUUUGUUAUUGAUAUUAAUGGUUUCAAAUUGACAAUUACUCUUUUUGAUUUUGCAUUAAUGUUUGGGUAAAAGUGUUACGGUGAAGAAAUUAUUUUUACGGAUUCUAAAAAUAGACUUUUGGAUACAUAUUUUGGUGGUUCUGAUAGUUAUUAAUGGUUUCAAAUUGACAUUUACUCUGGUUAAAUGCUUCACGGAUCAGUAUUGGGGUGUCAAUGCUGAUGCAGAUGAAGGUGAUGUAAAGAUCGAGUUGCUGUUUUUCAUUCAUUCCUACAUCUUUUCCGGUGAGAAGAACUCUGUCAUCAUCCCAAGGCUUCAUUUUGACUUGGUAGAGAGUGGAUGGUACAAAGACUAUACAUGGGGUUUUGAUCAGAAGUCUUCACCAUAAGAUGGAUAAGACGAAACAAUAUUACUGUAGUCGGGGUUUUCCGUUUUCUAUGCAAGCAUGGCUAUAUGAGUGCUGCUCCAAUGUUUACCCAAAUUUGACAGUAAAAAAUGGAAACCGUAUUCCAAGAAUUUUCAACUGGAGAACCAUAGAUGUAAAACCGCCUUUCAAAGAUCAGAUGCUGGCAUGUUCAAAGAUGACGACUCAGAGGACCGUCUCACUUAUAAGAAAUAUUGUGCCGACCAUCAAUGAGGUUGAGUUUCUUGUAUUGCGUCCAUAUCUCAUCAGUAAACCUGAAUCAACACCUCACAAACAAUAGGUUGAAGAUGAAUACACUGACUUUAGUUCCACACCACCCCAUUUGGCUACGGCUAAACAGACUCGGAAAAAAGGUGUAUCACAGUCUCCACCUCACAAGAAGCCGAGACAAAUGCGAAUGGUACCAUCGCCAGUGAAGAAGACAGCAUCUCCAAUUCCACGUUUUGGUAAUCUUUCUAGGGGUGGAUUGACCAGUCCUAUUUUGGCAACAACUAAGUCUGUUUCAACAAAGAAAAACGAACAAUCAUGUCCAAGCCCCCUCCCCCUGUGUUCCUAUUGACGUCCCAUCUACCAGCAAAUCUGAUGAUAUCAAAAGUUUGAGGGAGGAACUUAAUGAGUUUAUGAAGAAUGUUUUUGCCGAAUUCAAGGAUCUUCACAAAGUCACUAACGAAAACUUCGCAAAGGUUUUUGAACAUAUUAAAGUGAAUCAAACUUCAAAAAAAGGGUUGACAGCCAGGCUCCAGCUCAUGUCCAUUUUGAUGACAUACUUCGGUCAGCUGACGACUACAUUCACCAUGAUGCUAGCAUAAAAAUGGAAACUGAUACAAGGCAUGCAACGUCGACAGAGAAUGUUCGGAGUUACGUUCUCUACGAAGAUGGAAGAAGGAAUCCAAAUGGAUGUUCGCACACCAGUUCGGCCUUGAGGGUUCGACUACCGAGGUGGGAAUGGUAGGUGCCCGCGCGAUCCUAGAAUGGAUCGUGACAGGGAGUGGGGAUACAUUAAAGGCAUCUACUGAAGAGAUUCAAGAAGGUGGCGAUCUUUCUGGAGAACACAAGGAAUGAAUGGAAUACGUAUUUCAGUUUCCUGAAGAUGUAUCUGACAAAGUGCCAGACGUAUCAACGAACACUACGAAUAUUGCAGAGGUCCUAACUAAUAUUUCUCUCCCAAUCAUCUCUUCGGGACCAGCUCAUGAAAAGAGUGCCAUGGAACACAAGCAUCGUUCUGUUUUUUAGAUGCCACACAAAGUUGGUAAUUCACAAAUCAUCAGUGUGCGUAUUUUUCAAAAAAAGCAUCCAUUCGCGAAAGAUCCCAUCACUGGCCCAGUUGACGUAGAGCUUUUUGAUAAAUACUUGGUGUGGCUUCAAAAGGGACUGCUUGUCAGGCAUGAAAAAAAAAAGAACAAGGAAGAUCGUUACAAAAAGAAGAUGUCAGCUUUUGAGAUUGAUGCAAAUUAUACGUAUAAUUUUGGCAUCACAAUAUGAUAUGAUCCUAGAUGGAACAAAGGGCACAAAGAUGCUUGGAAGGACAUGGGACGUUUGGAUGAUGUCUUGGGAAGAGAUUGUGGCGACUUCUACACCAAGUGGUUAAAAGCGCAAAGGGCUAAAAGUGCAAAUUAUGGAUAUACGAUCCAAAUCAAGACAAAUUGGGCUACAAUUGCAAGACAGUUGGUGUUUGGAAGAUGAAGAUUUCCAUAUGAGGGCUAUUUUCGAAAUUCCCAAAGAAGACUACCAACCAAACAAGGCACUUGCCUCAUUAAUGACAUUUUUGUAAUAACUUAGUCUUCUUUUAGUCUAGGAAUAUAAAUACUAGACUUAGUUCAUUUCAUUAGUUAGAAUGAAUGAAUUAUGUAUUGAAUGCUCUAAAUGAGUGAUAGCUUGUUUGGCUUAAUAGCCUUUAGGAUUUAGGAUAGUUAAUGGUGGAUUCCAUUGUUGGUUUUGAACCUCAUUUCCAUUGAUUUCAUGAAGAGUUGUUCAUUUGUGAAUUUCAUUUGAA
Molecule: long non-coding RNA, 4559 nt
Organism: Lycium barbarum (goji berry)
Lineage: Eukaryota; Viridiplantae; Streptophyta; Magnoliopsida; Solanales; Solanaceae
Exons: 10
Source: RefSeq, a predicted model, not a curated record